AUCACAGCACAGAUCUAGCCUGGGGAAUUUUCCAUUUUGGUACCUGGUCUUUACAAUUUUCAUGAGCGUAGCGUGGCCAUUCCUGAGGUAGCAUUCGGUGUAGAAGACGACAGCAGCUACGGCAACGGCUUUAAUGCAGUCUUGUUCCUUUGCCAUGACGAGGAAAGAAAAAAGGAAGAAACAGAUCAAACACUGGUCCCAUACGUCUCUGUGAUCACAUCACAUCACUCAAAGAAAGAAAAGAAAAAAGAUACUAACUCCUAAGUGAGGCCAAAAACGUUAAAACUAAUUGCCGUGUUGCUACAGCAGUACAGCUAAAUAUAAAAAAGAUUACUCCUAAGUGAGGCAGUUGACUGAAGAGUUAACGCUACUGCCUUCCCUAGUUAACCAACUUUCUUAAGAACAACAAUACGAAAAUAGAACAGCAUUGAUCAACUAAGCAUAAUUAGAGUUGCGUUAUUUUUAGUGGUUGGCGGAUUCAAAUAUAUAUAAACAAAUAAAUAUGGAUUGUAUCCCUUGGGGCCUUGGGGGUAUGAAUGUUGAUUAUGCACUGGCAGUAAUCUACACAUUUUUGUGGAAACUCUGAAAAGUGUUCUGUCACUAACUACCUCGAGCAGUUUAGCCAAGAUUCGUUUUGACAGCAUCUGAUAGCCUAAGCAGAUUUUUACCUUGCUAGUUGAUUUCUCAUGAGAUGAACAGCACGCGCCAGCAUUUCCUACACAGUAGAGCGAGCCUGAGAACGCCCCUAACACAGCCAAAGUAAUCCACGAUUACCUGCACAGAAGGUUGGAAACUGUAACGCCAAACGACAAGCAGAUAGAUUUCUUUGCAAGUCACAACACCCCAUAGAAAGGAAAACGACCAGGUAUGCCUGACAACAGAUAGAGAAAAUAAAGAGUGCACCAAUAGUCCUUGGGGCUAGCAAGUUGAUAGUGUACAUCAACCUAGUAUAAUUUGACCAAAACAAUCUAACAACGAAUGGAGAUCAAAGCACAUCUCCAGCCCCUGCAUCCAAAGCGACAGUGCAUGUUUUCAUGCAGUUUAACAUCUCUAUAGUAUCACAUAUGUAUCUUUAAAUCCAGAAGUUCCAUUUAAUAUGGAUACUGUUCGGCAAGUCACAUUUGAAAUCAUAGUUCUAAAAUUGUUUGUUGUGCAGGAAUUGGCAACAUCUUCACACAUGUGUACCACAAGGAAAAAACCUAUCAAAAUUAUAAAUGGAGCAAGCGGGACAAUUCGUCCAUCACGGUAAGCAGCUCUACUUUUUACUAAAUCGAUAAUGGUUGAUACUGUUUAUCUCAGAGUAAGUGUUCCACUGAAAAACAUGUAACGCUCCAUAUCAGGAGUUCAUCAUUCAUUAAUUUAUUAUUCACCUAACAUGCUGAAUCUUUGUGAUCCCGUUACAUAAUCAGGAUGACACUUCUUCUAGGAGCACCUGGUUCUGGGAAAACUACUUUUUUAAAAGCAUUGGCAGGAAAGUUGGAUUCUUCUUUGAAGGUACACUGAGUUAUCUACUUGCCACCGAAACCACUUACUAACAAGACAAUCAUUGAUUAACCAGCAUUGUUUUUUUCUUGAUAUCACAUCUCUUAAUAGCUCAAAGGAAAGGUCAUGUACAAUGGAGAAGAAGUGAAUUCCUCAACACCUCAAUACCUGCAUGCCUACAUUAGCCAGUAUGAUCUUCAUCAUGCUGAGAUGACCGUCAGAGAGACGAUUGAUUUCUCUUCCAAGAUGUUGGGAACCAAUAAUGAAUUUGGUGAGACACCCUCUUGGGUAUGGGGAUAUAGCUUUAGUUCCCGUGUAUAUGAAUGAGCUAAUUUAUAACCAAACCCAGACACUGAAAAUUAAGAAGCACUCCUUUCAAGGUUUUUUUCCCUUUGCAUGACAUAAAUACUAAUGCAAAAUUCCUGUUUGAAAUGGUCGCCUUAGAGAUGCUGGGAGAAGCAAUAAGAAGGAAAAAGGGUGUCAUCAACAAAGUGGACCAAGAUCUUGACUCGUUUAUUAAGGUUACUAAGUUUAUUUUCCGCCAAUUUUGGUAAAACUGGAAUCCAGUUCCCCCAAUUGCUUAAAUCUGUUUUCUGCAGGCUACCACCUUCGGAGAAGGAAGCAACCUUACAACAAACUAUAUUAUCAAGGUAAAUUCGUAACUUUUCAAUUUAUACAUUUGUCUUCAUAACAUAAUCACAAACUUUGUGCAAAUGCAGAUACUUGGUUUGUCCGAGUGUGCAGAUACCCUAGUGGGGGAUGAGAUGAGAAGAGGCAUAUCAGGAGGACAAAAAAAGAGAGCCACGAUUGGUAAGGAUUCUAUAGUGUUUACUAUGUAUCUUGUUCCUCUUAUCACCCUCUGUUCCCACUUUAUAGAGUGCAUUUUCUAAUGCGACCUUAUUUCAUAAUAAAAAAAAGGGUUUAUGUUAUAGUCCUUGGCCCAAUAAAAAAUUUAUCACCUCAACAACUUAUAUUUUGUACAGUAUUGCUUGAUGAAACAAAGAUCCUAGUUAAACCCACAAUGAAAAGAUUGUAAAGUAACAAAAUGUCAAAAUGACACCAUAAUUUCUUGACAUGUUCGAUUAAAUGGACUAUGAAAACAGUAUGCGUGUACUUUUGUAGUGAGCCGGUCACGAUAUUACAGAAUGCUCUCUUCCUGCUGAACUCUCUAUUGUUCUCCAGAAAAAAUAAUUUGAGGAUGAUAUUUAUUCUACUGAAUAAGGGCAACUCUGAAUAUGUCAGAUGUAACUAAAAAUUAUGUAGAUUGCUGGAAGGUACCCACACUGCAAUGUGCUGCAUUUAUAAUAUAUAUUUUCCAUGGCCUAUUCUGCUUACGAAUAUGUCAGAUGUAACUAGAAAUUAAGUAGAUUGCUGGAAGGUACCCACACUGCAAUGUGCUGCAUUUAUAAUAUAUAUUUUCCAUAGCCUAUUCUGCUUACGAAUAUGCCAGUUAUACAGACGAUGGUGCCAGUACCAAAGUUAACAACUAUAAAUAUUGACGAUGUAAUCAACAGUGGUUUUCUUUUAUCAAUUUGUCAUUGUUGCUAUAUUUUUAAGAUGAAUUCACUAAUGCAGGAGAGAUGCUAGUUGGUCUAGCAAGAUGCUUCUUUAUGGAUGACAUAUCAACAGGUCUAGAUAGCUCCACCACAUACGAGAUCGUAAAGUUUCUCCAACAAAUGGCUCAUCUGAUGGAUCUCACUGUGGUUAUUUCCUUGCUUCAACCACCUCCUGAGACGUUGGAAUUAUUUGACGACAUAAUCCUUUUAUGCGAGGGGCAAAUUGUAUAUCAUGGUCCUCGAGAAAAUGCUACUGGUUUCUUUGAAAUUAUGGGAUUCAAAUGCCCCAGCAGGAAGAAUGUAGCUGAUUUCCUUCAAGAGGUACUAGAUUAUAAACUCUAAUAAGAGGGAACUACUGAAUAAAUCUAUAUUGCUAACUUAAGGGCAACCAGUCAAUAAAUAUCAGAAAGUAACAAUGUAGCAUGCAGUACAUGAGUUGCAAUUCCAUCCACAAAAUUCACUAUUAUGUUAUAUGUACUUGUUCGUGCAUAAUAAUGCAAGUAACUGACAGCAACUUUUCUUCAUUUGACCAGGUAACCUCGAAGAUGGAUCAAAAGCAAUACUGGAUUGGUGAUGAAAAUAAGUAUCAAUACCGGUCAAUCGAAAAAUUUGCAGAAUCUUUUCGUUCAUCCUAUCUCCCACAACCUGCGAAAGACGAUCUCUGCAAGACAAACAAUACAGGAAAGAGAAAGGAGAUUAUAACAAGUGCAACUCGCAGGAUCUCUAGAUGGAAUAUUUUCAAGGCAUGCUUUUCAAGGGAAGUAUUGCUUCUUAAAAGAAACUCCCCACUUCAUAUAUUUAAGACUGUACAGAUAACUGUUAUGGCUUUGGUGAUCUCAACGGUUUUCCUUCGAACAAAUAUGAACCAUAAAACUGUACUCGAUGCCAAUAAGUACAUGGGAUCACUCUUUAUGGCUGUUGUGAUAGUAAACUUCAAUGGCAUGACUGAAAUUGGAAUGACAAUAAAGCGACUCCCCACUUUCUACAAGCAAAGAGAGUUACUAGCAUUGCCAGGAUGGGCACUUCUUUCUUCGGUAUUCCUUAUCAGCCUCCCAAUGUCACUUCUAGAGACAGGUCUGUGGACCAGCUUAACCUACUAUGUGAUUGGCUACGCACCUUCCUUUCUCAGGUACCCCUCCUAGUCAAUUCAAUAUCUAAUGAGCAAAAUAUUUGAAUAAGCUGGAAUAACAGAACGAGUUACCUUGCUUCUUGCAGAUUCAUCCAGCAGUUUUUGGUACUUUUUGCCAUGCAUCAAAUGUCAAUGGGCCUCUAUCGUUUCUUAGCGGCAAUAGGAAGGACGCAAGUAAUGGCCAACAUGCUAGGCACUGCAGCUCUCAUAGCAAUCUACAUAUUUGGAGGCUUUGUCAUAUCAAAAGGUUAGAUGUUUUAGCUCAGAAUAACGUAAGAUGUAUGAGUACUUGUGCAACGAAGAUGCUUAACAGUUUUGUACAUUGAAACAGAUAACCUCCAACCAUGGUUGCAGUGGGGAUACUGGACAUCCCCAUUCACCUAUGCACAGAAUGCUGUUGCCCUAAAUGAGUUCCUUGAUGAAAGAUGGGCUAUUGUAAGCAAUUGUUUCAACUAACAUUCUUGAUCCAAUGUACAUAACCCGUGCAAUUAGUUAUGACCUGAUGAUGAUUUUUCAUGCUGACAGGAAUUUUACUAUGCAAAUGCUAAAACAGUUGGUGAAGCUAUCCUCAAGAUCAGGGGGUUGCUCACAGAGUGGCAUUGGUACUGGAUUUGUGUCGGCAUUUUAUUUGGAUUCUCGCUGGUCCUCAACAUCCUCACUAUAUUUGCACUAGAGUUCAUGAACUGUAUGUAUACCAAAGCUAUCAAAAUCCUCAUAAGUAUUGAAACAUAAAUGCAAACAAAAUCAUCAUAUUUGUUCAUAAUUUGUAGCUCCACACAAGCAUCAAGUUAAUAUCGAUUCCACGAAGACAAAAACGGAGUGUAAGAAACAAAAAGUUGGAACUCGCAAUGCAUCAACUGGUCAAGUUGCCCUCCCGUUUCAGCCUCUUUCCCUUGUAUUUGAUCAUAUCAACUAUUUUGUUGACAUGCCUAAGGUAACAUCUUGAGCACAUAGUGCCUUACUGAAUACUUGCAUCCAUUUCAUUUCCAGUCACGUUUGACCAAACGUAUGCAUAUCUUCCACCAGGAAAUGAUUAAGUAUGGAGUAACAGAGAAAAAGCUUCAACUGCUGCAAGAUGUCAGCGGUGUUUUCAGGCCAGGGGUGUUAACAGCUCUGAUGGGGAUCACUGGUGCUGGAAAGACAACAUUGCUCGACAUUUUGGCUGGAAGAAAAACUGGAGGAUAUAUUGAAGGUACUAUUAGGAUAGCAGGAUACCCAAAGAAGCAGGACACAUUCUCAAGGAUCUCGGGCUACUGUGAACAGAGUGACAUUCACUCCCCUAACCUCACUGUGCAUGAGUCACUACAGUUCUCAGCAUGGCUUCGACUUCCUUCGAACGUUAACUCUCGCCAAAGAGAUGUAUAAGCAUUGACCUUUUGCAAUCUUUAUCAUCUUUGAAGCUAAUAUAUAACAAUAGAUCUAACAAGAUUUCCCUACAAACAUGUUUCAGAUGUUUAUAGAUGAAGUAAUGGACCUAGUUGAAUUGACUGGACUGAAGAAUGCCAUGGUGGGAAUAGCAGGAGCAACUGGCCUGUCAGCUGAGCAGCGAAAAAGGCUAACAAUAGCAGUGGAGCUGGUAGCUAGUCCUUCCAUUAUAUUCAUGGACGAGCCAACCACUGGCU
Molecule: long non-coding RNA, 5789 nt
Filed under: Triticum aestivum (bread wheat)
Lineage: Eukaryota; Viridiplantae; Streptophyta; Magnoliopsida; Poales; Poaceae
Description: long non-coding RNA (TAES_LNC014619)
Source: RNAcentral